GAACGCACAUUGCGCCCAUUAGCAUUCUAGUGGGCAUGCCUGUUCGAGCGUCAUUUCACCACUUAAGCCCUGUUGCUUAGCGUUGGGAGCCUACGGCAUAGCCCGUAGCUCCUUAAAGUGAUUGGCGGAGUUGGUUCUCACUCUAAGCGUAGUAACUAUAUCUCGCUUCUGUAGUAGUUCCGGCCCCUGCCGUAAAACCCCUUAUACAAAGGUUGACCUCGGAUCAGGUAGGAAUACCCGCUGAACUUAAGCAUAUCAAUAAGCGGAGGAAAAGAAACCAACAGGGAUUGCCCUAGUAACGGCGAGUGAAGCGGCAACAGCUCAAAUUUGAAAUCUGGCUCUAGGGCCCGAGUUGUAAUUUGCAGAGGAUGAUUUUGGCGCGGUGCCUUCCGAGUUCCCUGGAACGGGACGCCUUAGAGGGUGAGAGCCCCGUACGGUUGGACACCAAGCCUCUGUAAAUCUCCUUCGACGAGUCGAGUAGUUUGGGAAUGCUGCUCUAAAUGGGAGGUAAAUUUCUUCUAAAGCUAAAUACCGGCCAGAGACCGAUAGCGCACAAGUAGAGUGAUCGAAAGAUGAAAAGCACUUUGAAAAGAGGGUUAAAUAGCACGUGAAAUUGUUGAAAGGGAAGCAUUUACUACCAGACCUUCUCC
This 650-nucleotide ribosomal RNA is filed under the name Xylariaceae sp. genotype 447. RNAcentral's name for it is "eukaryotic LSU rRNA". The stretch from base 214 to 650 matches the Rfam family "Eukaryotic large subunit ribosomal RNA", at positions 1 to 441 of the family's 3401-position model. The record is from RNAcentral. Lineage: Eukaryota; Fungi; Ascomycota; Sordariomycetes; Xylariales; Xylariaceae.